GAUGAACGCUGGCGGCGUGCCUAAUACAUGCAAGUCGAGCGAACAGACGAGGAGCUUGCUCCUCUGACGUUAGCGGCGGACGGGUGAGUAACACGUGGAUAACCUACCUAUAAGACUGGGAUAACUUCGGGAAACCGGAGCUAAUACCGGAUAAUAUAUUGAACCGCAUGGUUCACUAGUGAAAGACGGUUUUGCUGUCACUUAUAGAUGGAUCCGCGCCGCAUUAGCUAGUUGGUAAGGUAACGGCUUACCAAGGCAACGAUGCGUAGCCGACCUGAGAGGGUGAUCGUCCACACUGGAACUGAGACACGGUCCAGACUCCUACGGGAGGCAGCAGUAGGGAAUCUUCCGAAAUGGGCGAAAGCCUGACGGAGCAACGCCGCGUGAGUGAUGAAGGUCUUCGGAUCGUAAAACUCUGUUAUUAGGGAAGAACAAAUGUGUAAGUAACUAUGCACGUCUUGACGGUACCUAAUCAGAAAGCCACGGCUAACUACGUG
Molecule: ribosomal RNA, 497 nt
Filed under: uncultured bacterium
Lineage: Bacteria
Description: partial 16S ribosomal RNA
Rfam family: Bacterial small subunit ribosomal RNA
Source: RNAcentral